UUCGCAAUGCCCGAAAGGGUGACGAAGCGACGCCGCGUGAGCGAAGAAGGCCCUAGGGUUGUAAAGCUCUGUCAGGGGUUAAGAAAUGUAAACAGGUUAAUACCCUGUUUAUUUGACAAAAGCCCCAAAGGAAGCCACGGCUAACUCUGUGCCAGCAGCCGCGGUAAUACAGAGGUGGCAAGCGUUGUUCGGUAUUAUUGGGCGUAAAGAGCACGUAGGUGGUUUUGUAAGUCAGAUGUGAAAGCCUUCUGUUCAAAGGAAGAACGGCAUCUGAAACUGCGGAUCUUGAGUGUAGGAGGGGAGAGUGGAACUUCUGGUGGAGCGGUGAAAUGCGUAGAUAUCAGAAGGAACGUCGGCGGCGAAAGCGACUCUCUGGCCUAUUACUGACACUGAGUGUGCGAAAGUUAGGGGAGCAAACGGGAUUAGAUACCCCGGUAGUCCUAACCGUAAACGAUGGGCACUAAGUAGAGGGGUUUU
Molecule: ribosomal RNA, 477 nt
Filed under: Candidatus Scalindua wagneri
Lineage: Bacteria; Pseudomonadati; Planctomycetota; Candidatus Brocadiia; Candidatus Brocadiales; Candidatus Scalinduaceae
Description: bacterial SSU rRNA
Rfam family: Bacterial small subunit ribosomal RNA
Source: RNAcentral